UGCACACAUGACUGUAAGUCGCUUUAGAUAAAAGAGUCUGUUAAAUGGCAUAUA
Salmo salar (Atlantic salmon) is the source of this 54-nucleotide non-coding RNA. The record is from Rfam. NCBI's taxonomy places the organism in Eukaryota, Metazoa, Chordata, Actinopteri, Salmoniformes, Salmonidae.